Molecule: ribosomal RNA, 124 nt
Filed under: Pannaria leucosticta
Lineage: Eukaryota; Fungi; Ascomycota; Lecanoromycetes; Peltigerales; Pannariaceae
Description: partial 28S ribosomal RNA
Rfam family: Eukaryotic large subunit ribosomal RNA (bases 24-124)
Source: RNAcentral
CAACCCGAGAGAACCCAACCGGUGGACCUCGGAUCAGGUAGGGAUACCCGCUGAACUUAAGCAUAUCAAUAAGCGGAGGAAAAGAAACCAACCGGGAUUGCCCCAGUAACGGCGAGUGAAGCGG